This 492-nucleotide ribosomal RNA is filed under the name uncultured bacterium. RNAcentral describes it as "partial 16S ribosomal RNA". It matches the Rfam family "Bacterial small subunit ribosomal RNA", at positions 29 to 507 of the family's 1533-position model. The record is from RNAcentral.
AGUGAACGCUGGCGGUAGGCCUAACACAUGCAAGUCGAACGGCAGCACAGUAAGAGCUUGCUCUUACGGGUGGCGAGUGGCGGACGGGUGAGGAAUACAUCGGAAUCUACUUUUUCGUGGGGGAUAACGUAGGGAAACUUACGCUAAUACCGCAUACGACCUACGGGUGAAAGCAGGGGAUCUUCGGACCUUGCGCGAUUGAAUGAGCCGAUGUCGGAUUAGCUAGUUGGCGGGGUAAAGGCCCACCAAGGCGACGAUCCGUAGCUGGUCUGAGAGGAUGAUCAGCCAGACUGGAACUGAGACACGGUCCAGACUCCUACGGGAGGCAGCAGUGGGGAAUAUUGGACAAUGGGGGCAAGCCUGAUCCAGCCAUACCGCGUGGGUGAAGAAGGCCUUCGGGUUGUAAAGCCCUGUUGUUGGGAAAGAAAAGCAGCAGGUUAAUACCCCGCUGUUCUGACGGUACCCAAAGAAUAAGCACCGGCUAACUUCGUG